Molecule: ribosomal RNA, 492 nt
Filed under: uncultured bacterium
Lineage: Bacteria
Description: partial 16S ribosomal RNA
Rfam family: Bacterial small subunit ribosomal RNA
Source: RNAcentral
AGUGAACGCUGGCGGUAGGCCUAACACAUGCAAGUCGAACGGCAGCACCGUAAGAGCUUGCUCUUCCGGGUGGCGAGUGGCGGACGGGUGAGGAAUACAUCGUAAUCUACUUUUUCGUGGGGGAUAACGUAGGGAAACUUACGCUAAUACCGCAUACGACCUACGGGUGAAAGCAGGGGAUCUUCGGACCUUGCGCGGUUGAAUGAGCCGAUGUCGGAUUAGCUGGUUGGCGGGGUAAAGGCCCACCAAGGCGACGAUCCGUAGCUGGUCUGAGAGGAUGAUCAGCCACACUGGAACUGGGACACGGUCCAGACGCCUACGGGAGGCAGCAGUGGGGAAUAGUGGACAAUGGGGGCAAGCCUGAUCCAGCCAUACCGCGUGGGUGAAGAAGGCCUUCGGGUUGUAAAGACCUUUUGUUGGGAAAGAAAAGCAGCAGGUUAAUACCCCGCUGUUCUGACGGUACCCAAAGAAUAAGCACCGGCUAACUUCGUG